RNAcentral lists this ribosomal RNA (251 nucleotides) under uncultured bacterium. RNAcentral describes it as "partial 16S ribosomal RNA". It matches the Rfam family "Bacterial small subunit ribosomal RNA", at positions 524 to 773 of the family's 1533-position model. The record is from RNAcentral.
UACAGAGGGGGCAAGCGUUGUUCGGAAUUACUGGGCGUAAAGGGCGCGUAGGCGGCCUGUUAAGUCGAACGUGAAAUCCCCGGGCUCAACCCGGGAACUGCGUCCGAUACUGGCAGGCUUGAAUCCGGGAGAGGGAUGCGGAAUUCCAGGUGUAGCGGUGAAAUGCGUAGAUAUCUGGAGGAACACCGGUGGCGAAGGCGGCAUCCUGGACCGGUAUUGGACGCUGAGGCGCGAAAGCCAGGGGAGCAAAC